Numida meleagris (helmeted guineafowl) is the source of this 352-nucleotide long non-coding RNA. RefSeq lists it as uncharacterized. The transcript has 3 exons. NCBI's taxonomy places the organism in Eukaryota, Metazoa, Chordata, Aves, Galliformes, Numididae. The record is from RefSeq and is a predicted model, not a curated record.
ACAGUGUGACAGUUUCCUCUUUAGACUUUUAAUUACAUCUCCAAGGACCUCCUUCCUGUAUUAGCAAUGGUGGUGGCAGUUUACCAUUCUAAGAGCCCAGAUAUCUUUGCAUACUUCUGUAAGAAAAAAAUAGUGAUGAACCUUCCUCUUCGUUCAAAAAUGCUUCCUCAAAACCUAUAUCCUCAGAAGUCCGGACUGAAAAAGAAUCAGACAUUCUUCAGCACUGCCAUACCAGGCUCAGAUCACAUAGUACAGAUUUGCCUCUGAGUUACUGCUUUUAAAAUUGUUAGAGCAGUUUCCAAACACUACUACAGAACAAGAACUUCUUCUGGAGCUUCUACACUGGUGAGUA